GGGAGUUGGGUUCUGUGAGGGAGAGGGGAUAGGAACAGGGAUCUAUUGCCGCCAUCGGGGAGGAAGGGAGAGAUGGGUCUAGGUCUAGAGGCAAGGGCUGGGAAUGGGUUUGGGUCUUGGCUGGGAUGGGUCUCGGUUGGGGGUGGAUCUCACGUGGGGAUAGGGUGGUUGUAUGGUGGCGUUGGGCUUAGAGGGAUAGGGCAAGGGGAUGGGUCUCGG
This 219-nucleotide long non-coding RNA is filed under the name Prunus persica (peach). Its description in RNAcentral is "long non-coding RNA (PPER_LNC003527)". Lineage: Eukaryota; Viridiplantae; Streptophyta; Magnoliopsida; Rosales; Rosaceae. The record is from RNAcentral.